RNAcentral lists this ribosomal RNA (115 nucleotides) under Sinocyclocheilus anshuiensis. Lineage: Eukaryota; Metazoa; Chordata; Actinopteri; Cypriniformes; Cyprinidae. The record is from RNAcentral.
ACCUGCCUAUAUCACCCUGCAGCCCAAGACUGGUUGCCCACUGAAGCUAAGCAGGGCUGAGCCUGGUCAGUACCUGGAUGGGAGACCUCCUGGGAAAACUAGGUUGCUGCUGGAA